This is a non-coding RNA of Triticum urartu, 115 nucleotides long. The record is from Rfam. Lineage: Eukaryota; Viridiplantae; Streptophyta; Magnoliopsida; Poales; Poaceae.
GCCAAUGAUGCCACACCCAACAUUUGGAGGUGCAGAUGGCUCCAGGAUCCUGUUUACAGGAUGAACCUACCUGGAGGCGCUGUAUCCAUAUGACAUUCAUGGGUAAGUCUGAGGU